UUGAACGCUGGCGGCAGGCCUAACACAUGCAAGUCGAGCGGAUGAAGGGAGCUUGCUCCUUGAUUCAGCGGCGGACGGGUGAGUAAUGCCUAGGAAUCUGCCUGGUAGUGGGGGAUAACGUCCGGAAACGGGCGCUAAUACCGCAUACGUCCUGAGGGGGAAAGUGGGGGAUCUUCGGACCUCACGCUAUCAGAUGAGCCUAGGUCGGAUUAGCUAGUUGGUGGGGUAAAGGCCUACCAAGGCGACGAUCCGUAACUGGUCUGAGAGGAUGAUCAGUCACACUGGAACUGAGACACGGUCCAGACUCCUACGGGAGGCAGCAGUGGGGAAUAUUGGACAAUGGGCGAAAGCCUGAUCCAGCCAUGCCGCGUGUGUGAAGAAGGUCUUCGGAUUGUAAAGCACUUUAAGUUGGGAGGAAGGGCAGUAAGUUAAUACCUUGCUGUUUUGACGUUACCAACAGAAUAAGCACCGGCUAACUUCGUG
This 483-nucleotide ribosomal RNA is filed under the name uncultured bacterium. RNAcentral's name for it is "partial 16S ribosomal RNA". It matches the Rfam family "Bacterial small subunit ribosomal RNA", at positions 30 to 507 of the family's 1533-position model. The record is from RNAcentral.